AGAAUCAACGCUGGCGGCGUGCCUAACACAUGCAAGUCGAUCGAGAAAGUGGAGCAAUCCAUGAGUAAAGAGGCGCACGGGUGAGUAACACGUGACUAACCUACCCUCGAGUGGGGAAUAAACCUGGGAAACCCGGGCUAAUACCGCAUAAUACCCACGGGUCAAAGGAGCAAUUCGCUUGAGGAGGGGUCGCGGCAGAUUAGUUAGUUGGCGGGUAAUGGCCCACCAAGACGAUGAUCUGUA
RNAcentral lists this ribosomal RNA (243 nucleotides) under uncultured bacterium. Its description in RNAcentral is "partial small subunit ribosomal RNA". It matches the Rfam family "Bacterial small subunit ribosomal RNA", at positions 26 to 285 of the family's 1533-position model. The record is from RNAcentral.